AGGGUUGUAGUUAAAUUAACAUUUGAUUUGCAUUCAAAAAAUACUAAAUUAUUAGUCUACCUU
This 63-nucleotide transfer RNA is filed under the name Chyliza bambusae. Its description in RNAcentral is "tRNA-Ala". The record is from RNAcentral. Lineage: Eukaryota; Metazoa; Arthropoda; Insecta; Diptera; Psilidae.